AGUACUUAACAGUAUUUUUGACUUGACAUCGGAAGAGCUGCAGUGAGCACGCAUGGAUUUUUCAUCCAUCUUCAUACUUAUAAUAGUGAUAAAAGCACCAACUGCGACAUCGUGAGGGAAGUUGGAUUCCUCACACGGAUAAUUCCCGAUUACAGGUUUCAGGUGAAACACCAGGAAGCUGUAUUCAGCACUGGAUGAUCAGCCUUGAGGGUCAUAUUAUUUCUGAGGGCAUCCAGUCGGCUUUUGUGUCUGGGCUUGCUGCUGUUUUUUCUACUUUUUACAACUUCAAUCUUCAAUACCAAGCUGAGGCAGCAUGCACACUGGAAUUUAUUCAAAGGCAGUUCAUCGGGAUAAACCCAGAAAAAGGCACCAAGGUUGGAGGAGUCAUUUCAAAACGGACGGGGAAGCUCGCCCAGAAAAACAAAACAGUGAACCCUCGUGUCUCCAGUCUGCUUAAAAAAUUGAUGGAUUUUGAGUGGGACUUUAUACAAGUAUUACACCCACACACCCACGCACCCACACACCCACACACACACACACACACACACACACACACACGCAUAUACAUGCACACACACACACACACACACACACUCAAAAUCACGUGAAUAAAGUAAUUCACUGUUUGUGUCCAGAGGAAAAAAAAAGAAAAUGACAGUAUACUUAGUCAUUUGUUAAGGACUUGUUCAAGUUACAGGAUAGUUCAGAUUCUGAUUUUGGAAACAUCUUGUUUAUUUAUGUUUGUUGUAACUUCUAAACCUUGAAUUUUAGUUAUUUUUUUUAUUAUUUAGUUAUGUCCUUUAUGCUUUUUUUCCAAAAAGAGUUUCAGAAGUUUAAUAAACGAGACAUGUUUUGAAACAAUACUUAAAGCUGCUUUUCUUCUGUGACAUUUUUAAUUUACUAUUUCACUUUUAAAUUUAUUCACUUUUGGUAUUUUAUAGCAAGACUGCAACAGGGAAAUGUAUUAAAUCACAAGGUUCAGAAAAUAAUCUUUAAAAACACAGGGGGAAAAGUUGUCCUUUUUGGUAACUGUCCAUUAUUCAAUACAUUACACAAUACCAUAUUGUAUAUUUGUGUAGUUUACACUAAUUUCAAUAUGAAGAACAAAUAAGUGCCCAUGCUUUUUUCAGGAUAUUGCUGUAACAUGUAGAAACUGCUUUAUGCAUUUGCAAAAGCAGUAACAACUGUAAAUUUAACCAAAAGUAAGACACCGUUAAUUUAACAGUAUCUUGCUGGCAACCGUGCUGCCAGUUAAUUACUGUUUUUUAAUAAACGGUAGUGAACUGUAAAUUUCACUAACAGUAAAAAACUGUUAAUUUAACAGUAACUUGCUGGCAACCGUGCUGCCAGUUCUUUACUGUUUUUUAACGGGAAAAUUUUUAACA
Molecule: long non-coding RNA, 1385 nt
Organism: Pimephales promelas (fathead minnow)
Lineage: Eukaryota; Metazoa; Chordata; Actinopteri; Cypriniformes; Leuciscidae
Source: RefSeq, a predicted model, not a curated record